RNAcentral lists this ribosomal RNA (847 nucleotides) under uncultured bacterium. RNAcentral describes it as "bacterial SSU rRNA". It matches the Rfam family "Bacterial small subunit ribosomal RNA", at positions 60 to 900 of the family's 1533-position model. The record is from RNAcentral.
AGUCGAGGGGCAGCGAGUAGAUUGCUUGCAAUCUACGUCGGCGACCGGCGCACGGGUGCGUAACGCGUAUGCAACCUACCCAUUACAGGGGGAUAACACUGAGAAAUCGGUACUAAUACCCCAUAACAUCCAGGGAGGCAUCUUCUUGGGUUGAAAACUCCGGUGGUAAUGGAUGGGCAUGCGUUGUAUUAGUUAGUUGGUGGGGUAACGGCUCACCAAGACGACGAUACAUAGGGGGACUGAGAGGUUAACCCCCCACAUUGGUACUGAGACACGGACCAAACUCCUACGGGAGGCAGCAGUGAGGAAUAUUGGUCAAUGGACGCAAGUCUGAACCAGCCAUGCCGCGUGCAGGAAGACGGCUCUAUGAGUUGUAAACUGCUUUUGUACGAGGGUAAACGCAGAUACGUGUAUCUGUCUGAAAGUAUCGUACGAAUAAGGAUCGGCUAACUCCGUGCCAGCAGCCGCGGUAAUACGGAGGAUUCAAGCGUUAUCCGGAUUUAUUGGGUUUAAAGGGUGCGUAGGCGGUCGGAUAAGUUAGAGGUGAAAUCCCGGGGCUCAACUUCGGAAUUGCCUCUGAUACUGUUCGGCUAGAGAGUAGUUGCGGUAGGCGGAAUGUAUGGUGUAGCGGUGAAAUGCUUAGAGAUCAUACAGAACACCGAUUGCGAAGGCAGCUUACCAAGCUACUUCUGACGUUGAGGCACGAAAGCGUGGGGAGCAAACAGGAUUAGAUACCCUGGUAGUCCACGCAGUAAACGAUGAUAACUCGUUGUCGGCGAUACAAUGUCGGUGACUAAGCGAAAGCGAUAAGUUAUCCACCUGGGGAGUACGUUCGCAAGAAUGAAAC